Long non-coding RNA from Cervus elaphus (red deer), 1203 nucleotides. RefSeq lists it as uncharacterized. Lineage: Eukaryota; Metazoa; Chordata; Mammalia; Artiodactyla; Cervidae. The transcript has 4 exons. The record is from RefSeq and is a predicted model, not a curated record.
GAUGAAAGAAGAAAAAAAUGAAGACUGAAAGACAUUCAGGAAAGAGUGCAGACAAAAGAGAAGUGAUAGUGAACAAAUGCUAGAAGUACAAGACAGAAACAAGAUUUGGGGAAAAUUUGGGAUAAAUGGAAUCUAUCAUUUGAUAAAUAUCAAGGUCAGGGGCGGUGGCUGAGAGGAGCUUCCCCACCUCCGAGGUCAGGGUCGGCGGCCGAGAAGAGCUACCACACACCCGAGGUCAGGGACAGCGGCCAAGAGGAGCAACCCCACCUCCAAGGAGCGGCUGCUGCGGGGUGCAGGAGGGCUGAGAGGAGCUACUCCACAUUCAAGGUCAGAAGGGGCGGCCAUGAGAAGAUACCCUUCGUCCAAGGCCUUUGCUGCUCCAUGUAGCCAUUCAGUGACCCUCACUUCUUCCAUCUAGUUUUCUACACUGAUUCUGUUGCAUCUGGGCAACCAAUGGGAUGUCAGAUGACCGAAAAGUCUCUCUAGUCCUCUGUGUGACCUUUGAGGACUCAUCAACCUGGAAACAGAGCAGGAUGCUAGUGUUUCAACCAUGGAUGCCAUAGUAGUAGGUCCCCAGGGUCAUAAAACAAGCUCCCUAGAAGUCACUGUGGAUGGAUGCUCGUGAGCAGGGUUGACAUCACCUGGUACACACUAGCAAGGCCCUAUCAGUUGUGACAUUUGGUGUCUGUUCUGAUUGGUUGAUGCUUGUACCCUAUUGCUUUUUAAACAUUUUACAUGUCACAUCUACUAAUAACCUUGGCCAUGUGGUGGGAAGUUUCAACAAUCCUCUCUCCCAGCUUGGAUCACCCCAUUGUUGUUGUUGUUCAGUCGCUAAGUAGUAUCUUAUUCUGUGACCGUAUGCAUGCCAGACUUCCCUGUCCUUCACUGUCUUUAGGAGUUUGGAUCAGCCCAUAGGGAUAAGGAAAAAAGAAACGGAAGGGAGCAUCCUGGAAUGACUGAUGAUCCGCUUUCAAGAACUCUGGAAUAAACCAGUGACUAAAUAUACCUUGAUUGUUAGGCUUAAGUUUUCCUUUGUCAGUGAACUGAUUUAAGUACAUUUACAGUGAAUAAAGGGAACUUGACUUUUUUUACCAUGUGAAAUUCAUAACUGCUGCAAAUGUGAAUCACUGUGUUCUGGCUUUCACUUCUCAUAUCUAGAUGUUGAAUGUGCCCCAGAGCCUCUAAAGCCAUCAGACAUUAGGU